RNAcentral lists this ribosomal RNA (466 nucleotides) under uncultured bacterium. Its description in RNAcentral is "partial 16S ribosomal RNA". It matches the Rfam family "Bacterial small subunit ribosomal RNA", at positions 28 to 507 of the family's 1533-position model. The record is from RNAcentral.
GACGAACGCUGGCGGCGUGCUUAACACAUGCAAGUCGAACGGAAAGGCCCUGCUUGCAGGGUACUCGAGUGGCGAACGGGUGAGUAACACGUGGGUGAUCUGCCCUGCACUUCGGGAUAAGCUUGGGAAACUGGGUCUAAUACCGGAUAGGAGCCAUCUUUAGUGUGGUGGUUGGAAAGUUUUUUCGGUGUAGGAUGAGCUCGCGGCCUAUCAGCUUGUUGGUGGGGUAAUGGCCUACCAAGGCGGCGACGGGUAGCCGGCCUGAGAGGGUGUACGGCCACAUUGGGACUGAGAUACGGCCCAGACUCCUACGGAAGGCAGCAGUGGGGAAUAUUGCACAAUGGGCGCAAGCCUGAUGCAGCGACGCCGCGUGGGGGAUGAAGGCCUUCGGGUUGUAAACUCCUUUCGCUAGGGACGAAGCUUUUUUGUGACGGUACCUUGAUAAGAAGCACCGGCUAACUACGUG